CGGCGAGUGAAGCGGCAACAGCUCAAAUUUGAAAUCUGGCUCUAGGGCCCGAGUUGUAAUUUGCAGAGGAUGUUUCUGGCAAGGUGCCUUCCGAGUUCCCUGGAACGGGACGCCAUAGAGGGUGAGAGCCCCGUCUGGUUGGAUGCCGAGCCUCUGUGAAACUCCUUCGACGAGUCGAGUAGUUUGGGAAUGCUGCUCUAAAUGGGAGGUAUACGUCUUCUAAAGCUAAAUACCGGCCAGAGACCGAUAGCGCACAAGUAGAGUGAUCGAAAGAUGAAAAGCACUUUGAAAAGAGGGUUAAAUAGUACGUGAAAUUGUUGAAAGGGAAGCGCUCAUGACCAGACUUGGGCCGGUUGAUCAUCCAUCGUUCUCGGUGGUGCACUCUGCCGGUUCAGGCCAGCAUCAGUUUAUCUCGGGGGACAAAGACGUCGGGAACGUGGCUCUUCCGGGAGUGUUAUAGCCCUUCGUGUAAUACCCUGAAGUAGACUGAGGUACGCGCUCCGCAAGGAUGCUGGCGUAAUGGUCAUCAGCGACCCGUCUUGAAACACGGACCAAGGAGUCGUCUUCGUAUGCGAGUGUUCGGGUGUCAAACCCCUACGCGUAAUGAAAGUGAACGUAGGAGAGAGCUUCGGCGCAUCUCCGACCGAUCCUGAUGUUCUCGGAUGGAUUUGAGUAAGAGCAUACGGGGCCGGACCCGAAAGAAGGUGAACUAUGCCUGUAUAGGGUGAAGCCAGAGGAAACUCUGGUGGAGGCUCGCAGCGGUUCUGACGUGCAAAUCGAUCGUCAAAUAUGGGCAUGGGGGCGAAAGACUAAUCGAACCU
This 821-nucleotide ribosomal RNA is filed under the name Hypocreales sp. Its description in RNAcentral is "partial large subunit ribosomal RNA". It matches the Rfam family "Eukaryotic large subunit ribosomal RNA", at positions 87 to 942 of the family's 3401-position model. The record is from RNAcentral. Lineage: Eukaryota; Fungi; Ascomycota; Sordariomycetes; Hypocreales.